AAAAUAGUGGUGAGUUCUUAUUUUGGGUUUAUUGUAUUUCUUGUGUUUGUAGGAAUUGCAUAGCAGUAAGAGUUAAUGUGAGACAGGCCUUUUUUCCAUUCGUUUGUCUAUUGUAGGUCUUCUUGUUACACUCACUAUUAAUAUGGACUAUUUUGUAUUUGUAAGGCCAAAGACAUUUUUCAUUGUGUGGAUAGUAGAUUGUUAUGUUAUUUUCUAGGUGAUUAUAGAUCCAACUUGUUUUCAGUAGUACAAUAUGUAACUUUUAAAAACUAUUUAUUGCCAGAUCAUCUCUCUUUCUCAAGUCAAAAUAAAGCAGAAGAUCUUUGCACGAUAUUUUGUUGAAACUAAUAGUUUGUCUUUUUGAUUAGGAAAGAAAUGGACAAAUUGAGGAUGAGCAUAUUUGGGUGUUUAACAUUUCUACAUGUAUGUUUGGGUUGCUAUUCUUGGCUCUAUGGCUUUAUAGAAUUGGGUCCUGGAGACAGGAGGAAAAUGCACAACUAGUUUUUUGCAACUGUUUUGAGGGAUUGACACUGCCCCCUUAAAGGGAAAUAUAGAGAAACUAGUAGACCAUUUAUUUUGUGGGAUAUCUUACUUUUCACAUAAUUGAAGUUUAACUUUGUAAGUUUGUAUGUGUUUAUCAUUAUAAGUAAUUGUUGUGAUUGAUGGGAUUUUUCCUUAAUACAUGGGAUAUGUCUCGUUGAAUCUUAUGAUUAUGAGAAAAUCAUGAGAUUGAUUACCAAAAUCUUAGGAGUGAUCUGUGGUUUAUUGAUAGCAUUUCAUAUAUAUUAUGUAUCUUCCAUCAUAAAUAUAGAGUUUCGUGUAUUAUGUAAGACACAACAAAAGUGAAUAAAAUGUAGCCCUCUUGAGGUUCCGUGGAUGUAGGCUCUUCGUAGUCAAACCAUGUAAAUCCUUCUCUUUCUACUUUUCUCCUAUCUUUUUUAUCCUUCUAAAUUUCAAUCACAUUUCUUGGUGCAAUUGUGAAGGCUUUGGACUUGCAACUAUGGGGUAUUAGAUUGAGCCUCGAGUAAUCACUUAAUGUAAAAAUGUGAAGGAUGGAACUAACUCUCCCACUUUCAAUUCCACGAUAAUAUAGUCAACUAGUCAUUACUGGCGAUUAACCUUUUCAAUGUCAUUUUUAGGAUUGAGUCAUUUGGAAUUUUAUCCUGAGGCCACCACAAAAAAAGGCAUAUAAUAAACAUUUUUAUUGCAUAUAUUAUCCAAUUCUUUGCUGAAUGACAAUUUAUUAUGCUCUAUUUCUUCUUUAAUGUGUUCAUAUGAUAUGUGUUUUGUUAGUGACAUGGUGUUUAUUUUGAGAAUUAAUGUGUGAGCGCAUGCUAUGGAAUGGAACAUUAUUUAAUGAUAUUAACUGUUUUGAAAAUACAAAUAAAUUACUGCAAGAUUGAAGAUCCUUAUUUAAUUGUAGG
RNAcentral lists this unclassified non-coding RNA (1424 nucleotides) under Hevea brasiliensis (rubber tree). The record is from RNAcentral. Lineage: Eukaryota; Viridiplantae; Streptophyta; Magnoliopsida; Malpighiales; Euphorbiaceae.